GACGAACGCUGGCGGCGUGCUUAACACAUGCCAGUCGAACGGAAAGGCCCUGCUUUUGUGGGGUGCUCGAGUGGCGAACGGGUGAGUAACACGUGAGUAACCUGCCCUUGACUUUGGGAUAACUUCAGGAAACUGGGGCUAAUACCGGAUAGGAGCUCCUGCUGCAUGGUGGGGGUUGGAAAGUUUCGGCGGUUGGGGAUGGACUCGCGGCUUAUCAGCUUGUUGGUGGGGUAGUGGCUUACCAAGGCUUUGACGGGUAGCCGGCCUGAGAGGGUGACCGGCCACAUUGGGACUGAGAUACGGCCCAGACUCCUACGGGAGGCAGGAGUGGGGAAGAUUGCACAAGGGGCGGAAGCCUGAUGCAGCAACGCCGCGUGCGGGAUGACGGCCUUCGGGUUGUAAACCGCUUUCGCCUGUGACGAAGCGUGAGUGACGGUAAUGGGUAAAGAAGCACCGGCUAACUACGUG
RNAcentral lists this ribosomal RNA (468 nucleotides) under uncultured bacterium. Its description in RNAcentral is "partial 16S ribosomal RNA". It matches the Rfam family "Bacterial small subunit ribosomal RNA", at positions 28 to 507 of the family's 1533-position model. The record is from RNAcentral.